AGCAGCCGCGGUAAUUCCAGCUCCAAUAGCGUAUAUUAAAGUUGUUGCAGUUAAAAAGCUCGUAGUUGAAUUUCGGGAUCAAUGUUUCGGUCAUGCCGUUGGUAUGUACUGAUAUUAUUGGUUUCUCACCUUCUAAAGAACCGUAAUGCCAUUAAUUUGGUGUCACGGGGAAUUAGGACUGUUACCUUGAAAAAUUAGAGUGUUUAAAGCAGGCUCACGCUUGAAUACAUUAGCAUGGAAUAAUGAAAUAGGACAUCCGAUUCUAUUUUGUUGGUUUCUAGGAUCGAUGUAAUGAUUAAUAGGGAUAGUUGGGGGCAUUAGUAUUCAAUUGUCAGAGGUGAAAUUCUUGGAUUUAUUGAAGACUAACUACUGCGAAAGCAUUUGCCAAGGAUGUUUUCAUUAAUCAAGAACGAAAGUUAGGGGAUCGAAGACGAUCAGAUACCGUCGUAGUCUUAACCAUAAACUAUGCCGACUAGGGGUCGGAUGAUGUUAAUUUUUUAAUGUACUCAUUCGGCG
RNAcentral lists this ribosomal RNA (516 nucleotides) under uncultured Glomus. RNAcentral describes it as "SSU rRNA". It matches the Rfam family "Eukaryotic small subunit ribosomal RNA", at positions 569 to 1085 of the family's 1831-position model. The record is from RNAcentral. Lineage: Eukaryota; Fungi; Glomeromycota; Glomeromycetes; Glomerales; Glomeraceae.